GAUCAUGGCUCAGGACGAACGCUGGCGGCGCGCCUAACACAUGCAAGUCGAACGAGAGAGAGGGAGCUUGCUUCCUUGAUCGAGUGGCGAACGGGUGAGUAACGCGUGAGGAACCUGCCUCAAAGAGGGGGACAACAGUUGGAAACGACUGCUAAUACCGCAUAAGCCCACGACCCGGCAUCGGGAAGAGGGAAAAGGAGCAAUCCGCUUUGAGACGGCCUCGCGUCCGAUUAGCUAGUUGGUG
RNAcentral lists this ribosomal RNA (244 nucleotides) under uncultured bacterium. Its description in RNAcentral is "partial 16S ribosomal RNA". It matches the Rfam family "Bacterial small subunit ribosomal RNA", at positions 15 to 254 of the family's 1533-position model. The record is from RNAcentral.